Mustela erminea (ermine) is the source of this 1162-nucleotide long non-coding RNA. RefSeq lists it as uncharacterized. The transcript has 4 exons. Lineage: Eukaryota; Metazoa; Chordata; Mammalia; Carnivora; Mustelidae. The record is from RefSeq and is a predicted model, not a curated record.
GCCGACCGUUGGCGGGGGCGCCCUGCCCGCCCCAAACGGUCCUGCGCCGCGCCCGCCCCGAAGGUGGGAUCCUCCAGUCCCGCUGAGCCCACUCGUCGAGUUCCUCGUCCAGCCCCUCCUGGGACAGGGGCAGACUGAGGGCAGCAGCGGCGGGGACUGGCCCGGACCCGACAGGACGUGGUCUCAGGGACGCUGGCAGCGAGGGCCAUUUCCUACACUGCAGACUGUGGGUCAGGUCUCACCCGGCUAUUCUGGCCGUUUGCCUGGAGGGCUCCAAAGAGCCCAACAGAAUUGGAACCCGCGUCACCAGACACUCACCUACCAGGGACAGCCCCCUCCCAGCUCAUCGCUUCGGACAUCGUCCAACAAACAAGAUGUUUGCGUGUUGCAUCCCCAACUCGGAACGGUGCAGGCAGAGGACUGCGCGCCCGGCAAGCACUUCCCCUCGCUCAGGAGGUCGUUUCAGGACUGCCAGACACCUCUGGGCAUUGUCAGGAAGGACCAAACAGUGACACCAGGAGGCCAGAGCCGGUCACCCAACCCCACACGCUUUGAUUGAUCUGAGUAGUCCCAGAAGGCCACAGAUGACAAGAGGAGGCUGGCGGACAUGACGUCUUCCCUGACAGAGGGACUUAGCGCUCAGGGCUCCUCUGGAGCAGGAAUGGGGGACAGCCUGGGAAAGCCUUCUCCACCUCCGAGGCCACUGUCCCCAGUGGUAGAAUGUUGGACAGCGGUCCAGGCCCGGAGCCCACGGAAGCUGAGCCCGAGGGUGAGAAGGCCGGGGCUGGGUGCCUGGGGUUGUGUGGGGAUGGGUCGGUGCUGGACCCCGCAGGAAGGACCCCCAGAGGCUGGUAUGGAGGCAGUACGGGUCCCCCUCAGACUGGCAGGUCUGGCCUGAGCACCAGCAGCCCUGGGGAGAACAUGAGGACACAGAGGUCCAAUGCAGGUCCCCCGGAGAGAAGGGGGACGGGCACCCCUGUCUGGGACAACGGUGGGCAGCGCCCUUCCCAAGCCGCAGGGGCACCCAUCACCUAGCAGUGCUCAUCCUGGGAUUCACCCUGGAAACUGGCGCGGUUCUUCACAAAUGUAUGGUCAGGAGUGCUCAGCCCAGCGGUGGUGGGGACAGCAGGGAACGGAACGGCGCUGAUGCCCGAGGAGGACG